RNAcentral lists this ribosomal RNA (274 nucleotides) under uncultured bacterium. RNAcentral's name for it is "partial 16S ribosomal RNA". It matches the Rfam family "Bacterial small subunit ribosomal RNA", at positions 523 to 796 of the family's 1533-position model. The record is from RNAcentral.
AUACGGAGGGUGCAAGCGUUGUUCGGAUUUAUUGGGCGUAAAGCGAGUGUAGGCGGUUUGACAAGUCGAAUGUGAAAUCCCGAGGCCCAACCUCGGAACUGCAUCCGAAACUGUCAGGCUAGAGUCCCGGAGAGGAUGGCGGAAUUCCCGGUGUAGGGGUGAAAUCCGUAGAUAUCGGGAGGAACACCAGUGGCGAAGGCGGCCAUCUGGACGGUGUCUGACGCUGAGACUCGAAAGUGUGGGUAGCAAACAGGAUUAGAAUCCCUAGUAGUCC